Non-coding RNA from Apis mellifera (honey bee), 78 nucleotides. Lineage: Eukaryota; Metazoa; Arthropoda; Insecta; Hymenoptera; Apidae. The record is from RefSeq and is marked provisional.
CCGAGAGGGAGAGGCCUCGUGACCACGGGGACCUUAAUAAAACACUCGUGCACACGCCCUCUUCUCUCUCGUCCUCUC